AUUGAACGCUGGCGGCAGGCCUAACACAUGCAAGUCGAGCGAGCGGCGGACGGGUGAGUAAUGUAUGGGGAACUGCCUGAUGGAGGGGGAUAACUACUGGAAACGGUGGCUAAUACCGCAUACUAUCGGAUGUACCCAGAUGGGAUUAGCUAGUAGGUGGGGUAAUGGCUCACCUAGGCGACGAUCUCUAGCUGGUCUGAGAGGAUGACCAGCCACACUGGGACUGAGACACGGUCCAGACUCCUACGGGAGGCAGCAGUGGGGAAUAUUGCACAAUGGGCGCAAGCCUGAUGCAGCCAUGCCGCGUGUAUGAAGAAGGCCUUCGGGUUGUAAAGUACUUUCAGCGAGGAGGCGUUACUCGCAGAAGAAGCACCGGCUAACUCCGUGCCAGCAGCCGCGGUAAUUC
This 406-nucleotide ribosomal RNA is filed under the name uncultured bacterium. RNAcentral describes it as "partial 16S ribosomal RNA". It matches the Rfam family "Bacterial small subunit ribosomal RNA", at positions 30 to 526 of the family's 1533-position model. The record is from RNAcentral.